UACGUAGGGCGCAAGCGUUAUCCGGAAUUAUUGGGCGUAAAGAGCUCGUAGGCGGCUUGUCGCGUCGGAUGUGAAAGCCCGGGGCUUAACUCCGGGUCUGCAUUCGAUACGGGCAGGCUAGAGUUCGGUAGGGGAGAUCGGAAUUCCUGGUGUAGCGGUGAAAUGCGCAGAUAUCAGGAGGAACACCGGUGGCGAAGGCGGUUCUCUGGGCCUGACCUGACGCUGAGGAGCGAAAGCGUGGGGAGCGAACAGG
Molecule: ribosomal RNA, 253 nt
Filed under: uncultured bacterium
Lineage: Bacteria
Description: partial 16S ribosomal RNA
Rfam family: Bacterial small subunit ribosomal RNA
Source: RNAcentral